GUCUACGGCCAUACCACCCUGAACACACCCAAUCUCAUCUGAUCUCGGAAGCUAAGCAGGGUCGGGCUUGGUUAGUACUUAGUACUUGGAUGGGAGAAUAGUAAUGUUAUCAUUGAUC
Erinaceus europaeus (western European hedgehog) is the source of this 118-nucleotide ribosomal RNA. The record is from Ensembl. NCBI's taxonomy places the organism in Eukaryota, Metazoa, Chordata, Mammalia, Eulipotyphla, Erinaceidae.